GACAGAGGUGGCAAGCGUUGUUCGGAUUUAUUGGGUGUAAAGGGCAGGUAGGCGGCUUGGCAAGUCUGACGUGAAAUCCCAUGGCUUAACCGUGGAACUGCGUUGGAAACUGCCUAGCUUGAGUACCGGAGAGGUGAAGGGAAUUCUCGGUGUAAGGGUGAAAUCUGUAGAUAUCGAGAGGAACACCAGUGGCGAAGGCGCUUCACUGGCCGGUAACUGACGCUGAGCUGCGAAAGCAAGGGGAGCAAACAGG
This 253-nucleotide ribosomal RNA is filed under the name uncultured bacterium. Its description in RNAcentral is "partial 16S ribosomal RNA". It matches the Rfam family "Bacterial small subunit ribosomal RNA", at positions 524 to 776 of the family's 1533-position model. The record is from RNAcentral.